UCAGUCGGUAGAGCAUCAGACUUU
RNAcentral lists this non-coding RNA (24 nucleotides) under Xenopus tropicalis (tropical clawed frog). Lineage: Eukaryota; Metazoa; Chordata; Amphibia; Anura; Pipidae. The record is from RNAcentral. RNAcentral also lists the same sequence under 4 other names.